Molecule: long non-coding RNA, 993 nt
Organism: Hemicordylus capensis (graceful crag lizard)
Lineage: Eukaryota; Metazoa; Chordata; Lepidosauria; Squamata; Cordylidae
Exons: 2
Source: RefSeq, a predicted model, not a curated record
UUGGGAUGGAGGCAGUUAAGGACAGUUGGAGAGGAAGGUGAAGAAGGGAAGAGGAACCGACUGGAAAAGUGAAGAGCGGAUACUUUGGUGGAUUAUCAGAAGACCAGUGAGAGAAAGAACAGUUGUGAGGAGCAGGCAGAAGUAGAACACCCACCAUGCAAGCAUCUUAGUAGAUUCAGGGACAAGUAAAGGCCUUGCCAUCUCAAGACAAAGAUUGUCCAAUUGGCUGGUUCAACUGAUCUUCUUUUGCUACAAAAAGCAAGGCAUUCAGCCACCCUCCAAGAUCAGGGCACAUUCCACUAGUGACUACCAUGACUACCUCAGCUGCCCACAUGUCAGGCAUUUGUAUGAAGAACAUCUGCAAGGCCGCUACCUGGUCCUCAGAACUGCCCUUUGUCAUACACUAUGCUGUGGACUUACGAUUUGCUUCAGAGGCCGCUCUUCAGCUGGUUUUCGGCCUUCUCCCCUUGGCAUGGCAGCCACCUCGCAACAGGCCUCUGCAUGACCUGGAUUUCAGGAAUAAGGGAGGCCAGUGGGGGAACCUCCGCGGACCCCCCACCGCCUCGGACAACUCCCCUGGAGGGGGUAAGAGUUAAAAAAACCCAACAAUUUAAAAACAAAUCACAAACCCUCGCUGAACUGGGGGUGGGGUGGGGUUGAGUGGGUGCUGGACCGAACCGGAAUAAACCUCUGUUGAGACCAAAAGAAAGCUGUUUUCAUAUGAUCUUUCCCUGUGCAUGGACUAAGGAGUAGGCUCAGGGAGAAAAAGAACUGGGGUUUUUUAGAGGAUUAUUACCCCAAUCGACAAAUCUGUGCAUGCAGCAUAUUGUAACCCACACAACUACCUGCAAGGAUCUCUUCACCUGCUUCCUGUGGAAAACAUUGCUGGUGCUGUACAUUUAUUUUAUUUAUUUAUCUGUUGAGCACAUUUCUAUCUCACCCAAUAUACACCUCUCUGGGUGCUUAUUUAGGUAAAGUGUGUCAUCAAGUCGA